ACUAGAGCACUAGAAGUUUUACUUUGUACCUGCCAAGUGUUGAAGCACCACGUUGUGGGCAGGGUGACAGACUGCUCUGAGAGCAUGCCAGAUUGGGAAAGAAAGAGGCAGCUGCCUGGAUAUAACAAAUGAAGUGUGCCACAGAAAGAAGGCAGGAGACCUUGGAAGCUUUAUUGGUAUCACUGGAUGUGGCAGUAGCAAGGACUUGCUAAGAAAUUUCUAGCUCAAAAACCAUAAAAGCUCAAGAUCCCAGAAGGUCAGCUCUGAAUCCUGACUUUCCAAUGUGAUAAGAUCUCUCCGUCUUGGAUUUCAGCUCAUCCACUCUAGAAAUAAAGACCCAAGGAUAAGA
Molecule: long non-coding RNA, 349 nt
Organism: Pseudopipra pipra
Lineage: Eukaryota; Metazoa; Chordata; Aves; Passeriformes; Pipridae
Exons: 3
Source: RefSeq, a predicted model, not a curated record